RNAcentral lists this unclassified non-coding RNA (180 nucleotides) under uncultured fungus. RNAcentral describes it as "sequence contains ITS1". Lineage: Eukaryota; Fungi. The record is from RNAcentral.
UUAACUUAUUAAGUUUUUUAUUCAGAUUGACAAAAAUUAACAUAGUUUAGUAGUCCACCGGCGGUUAACCCACUAACAUUGCUGCCAGUGAGAGUCGCCGCCGAGGCAACAGUGGUAAGUUCACAAUGGUUUGGAGUUAAAAACUCAGUAAUGAUCCCUCCGCAGGUUCACCUACGGAGA